GAUGAACGCUGGCGGCGUGCCUAAUACAUGCAAGUCGAGCGAACAGACGAGGAGCUUGCUCCUCUGACGUUAGCGGCGGACGGGUGAGUAACACGUGGAUAACCUACCUAUAAGACUGGGAUAACUUCGGGAAACCGGAGCUAAUACCGGAUAAUAUAUUGAACCGCAUGGUUCAAUAGUGAAAGACGGUUUUGCUGUCUCUUAUAGAUGGAUCCGCGCCGCAUUAGCUAGUUGGUAAGGUAACGGCUUACCAAGGCAACGAUGCGUAGCCGACCUGAGAGGGGGAUCGGCAACACUGGAACUGAGACACGGUCCAGACUCCUACGGGAGGCAGCAGUAGGGAAUCUUCCGAAAUGGGCGAAAGCCUGACGGAGCAACGCCGCGUGAGUGAUGAAGGUCUUCGGAUCGUAAAACUCUGUUAUUAGGGAAGAACAAAUGUGUAAGUAACUAUGCACGUCUUGACGGUACCUAAUCAGAAAGCCACGGCUAACUACGUG
Molecule: ribosomal RNA, 497 nt
Filed under: uncultured bacterium
Lineage: Bacteria
Description: partial 16S ribosomal RNA
Rfam family: Bacterial small subunit ribosomal RNA
Source: RNAcentral